CCUACGGGUGGCAGCAGUGGGGAAUAUUGCACAAUGGGGGAAACCCUGAUGCAGCGACGCCGCGUGAGUGAAGAAGUAUUUCGGUAUGUAAAGCUCUAUCAGCAGGGAAGAAAAUGACGGUACCUGAUUAAGAAGCCUCGGCUAACUACGUGCCAGCAGCCGCGGUCAUACGUAGGGGGCGAGCGUUAUCCGGAUUUACUGGGUGUAAAGGGAGCGUAGACGGAAGAACAAGUCUGGAGUGAAAUGCCGGGGCUAAACCCCGGAACUGUUUUGGAAACUGUGCAGCUAGAGUGCAGGAGAGGUAAGUGGAAUUCCUAGUGUAGCAGUGAAAUGCGUAGAUAUUAGGAGGAACACCAGUGGCGAAGGCAGCUUACUGGACUGUAACUGACGUUGAGGCUCGAAAGCGUAGGGAGCAAACGGGAUUAGAUACCCUUGUAGUC
This 440-nucleotide ribosomal RNA is filed under the name uncultured bacterium. Its description in RNAcentral is "partial 16S ribosomal RNA". It matches the Rfam family "Bacterial small subunit ribosomal RNA", at positions 338 to 795 of the family's 1533-position model. The record is from RNAcentral.